UGAACCCAGGGAUAGAAUAGCGG
Molecule: microRNA, 23 nt
Filed under: Monodelphis domestica (gray short-tailed opossum)
Lineage: Eukaryota; Metazoa; Chordata; Mammalia; Didelphimorphia; Didelphidae
Description: Mdo-Mir-1544-P1c_5p (mature (guide))
Source: RNAcentral